This 393-nucleotide ribosomal RNA is filed under the name uncultured bacterium. RNAcentral describes it as "partial 16S ribosomal RNA". It matches the Rfam family "Bacterial small subunit ribosomal RNA", at positions 523 to 918 of the family's 1533-position model. The record is from RNAcentral.
AUACGGAGGAUCCGAGCGUUAUCCGGAUUUAUUGGGUUUAAAGGGUGCGCAGGCGGGAGAUUAAGUCGGCGGUGAAAUUUUGCAGCUCAACUGUAAAAGUGCCUUCGAAACUGGUUUCCUUGAGUGUAGAUGAAGUAGGCGGAAUUUGUGGUGUAGCGGUGAAGUGCAUAGAUAUCACGAGGAACUCCGAUUGCGCAGGCAGCUUACUAAACUACUACUGACGCUCAGGCACGAAGGCGUGGGGAUCAAACAGGAUUAGAUACCCUGGUAGUCCACGCAGUAAACGAUGAUUACUAGCUGUUUGCGAUACAAUGUAAGCGGCUGAGCGAAAGCGUUAAGUAAUCCACCUGGGGAGUACGUUCGCAAGAAUGAAACUCAAAUGAAUUGACGGGG